This 1530-nucleotide ribosomal RNA is filed under the name Escherichia coli. Its description in RNAcentral is "bacterial SSU rRNA". It matches the Rfam family "Bacterial small subunit ribosomal RNA". RNAcentral also lists the same sequence under 2 other names. Lineage: Bacteria; Pseudomonadati; Pseudomonadota; Gammaproteobacteria; Enterobacterales; Enterobacteriaceae. The record is from RNAcentral.
AGAGUUUGAUCAUGGCUCAGAUUGAACGCUGGCGGCAGGCCUAACACAUGCAAGUCGAACGGUAACAGGAAGCAGCUUGCUGCUUUGCUGACGAGUGGCGGACGGGUGAGUAAUGUCUGGGAAACUGCCCGAUGGAGGGGGAUAACUACUGGAAACGGUAGCUAAUACCGCAUAACGUCGCAAGACCAAAGAGGGGGACCUUAGGGCCUCUUGCCAUCGGAUGUGCCCAGAUGGGAUUAGCUAGUAGGUGGGGUAACGGCUCACCUAGGCGACGAUCCCUAGCUGGUCUGAGAGGAUGACCAGCCACACUGGAACUGAGACACGGUCCAGACUCCUACGGGAGGCAGCAGUGGGGAAUAUUGCACAAUGGGCGCAAGCCUGAUGCAGCCAUGCCGCGUGUAUGAAGAAGGCCUUCGGGUUGUAAAGUACUUUCAGCGGGGAGGAAGGGAGUAAAGUUAAUACCUUUGCUCAUUGACGUUACCCGCAGAAGAAGCACCGGCUAACUCCGUGCCAGCAGCCGCGGUAAUACGGAGGGUGCAAGCGUUAAUCGGAAUUACUGGGCGUAAAGCGCACGCAGGCGGUUUGUUAAGUCAGAUGUGAAAUCCCCAGGCUCAACCUGGGAACUGCAUCUGAUACUGGCAAGCUUGAGUCUCGUAGAGGGGGGUAGAAUUCCAGGUGUAGCGGUGAAAUGCGUAGAGAUCUGGAGGAAUACCGGUGGCGAAGGCGGCCCCCUGGACGAAGACUGACGCUCAGGUGCGAAAGCGUGGGGAGCAAACAGGAUUAGAUACCCUGGUAGUCCACGCCGUAAACGAUGUCGACUUGGAGGUUGUGCCCUUGAGGCGUGGCUUCCGGAGCUAACGCGUUAAGUCGACCGCCUGGGGAGUACGGCCGCAAGGUUAAAACUCAAAUGAAUUGACGGGGGCCCGCACAAGCGGUGGAGCAUGUGGUUUAAUUCGAUGCAACGCGAAGAACCUUACCUGGUCUUGACAUCCACGGAAGUUUUCAGAGAUGAGAAUGUGCCUUCGGGAACCGUGAGACAGGUGCUGCAUGGCUGUCGUCAGCUCGUGUUGUGAAAUGUUGGGUUAAGUCCCGCAACGAGCGCAACCCUUAUCCUUUGUUGCCAGCGGUCCGGCCGGGAACUCAAAGGAGACUGCCAGUGAUAAACUGGAGGAAGGUGGGGAUGACGUCAAGUCAUCAUGGCCCUUACGACCAGGGCUACACACGUGCUACAAUGGCGCAUACAAAGAGAAGCGACCUCGCGAGAGCAAGCGGACCUCAUAAAGUGCGUCGUAGUCCGGAUUGGAGUCUGCAACUCGACUCCAUGAAGUCGGAAUCGCUAGUAAUCGUGGAUCAGAAUGCCACGGUGAAUACGUUCCCGGGCCUUGUACACACCGCCCGUCACACCAUGGGAGUGGGUUGCAAAAGAAGUAGGUAGCUUAACCUUCGGGAGGGCGCUUACCACUUUGUGAUUCAUGACUGGGGUGAAGUCGUAACAAGGUAACCGUAGGGGAACCUGCGGUUGGAUCACCU